This 279-nucleotide ribosomal RNA is filed under the name uncultured bacterium. RNAcentral's name for it is "partial 16S ribosomal RNA". It matches the Rfam family "Bacterial small subunit ribosomal RNA", at positions 559 to 834 of the family's 1533-position model. The record is from RNAcentral.
UUCGGAAAACAAACGUAGGUGGGUUUGUAAGUCAGAUGUGAAAGCCUUCUGUUCAAAGGAAGAACGGCAUCUGAAACUGCAGAUCUUGAGUGUAGGAGGGGAGAGUGGAACUUCUGGUGGAGCGGUGAAAUGCGUAGAUAUCAGAAGGAACGUCGGCGGCGAAAGCGACUCUCUGGCCUAUUACUGACACUGAGUGUGCGAAAGUUAGGGGAGCAAACGGGAUUAGAUACCCCGGUAGUCCUAACUGUAAACGAUGGGCACUAAGUAGAGGGGUUCUAA